Molecule: unclassified non-coding RNA, 400 nt
Filed under: uncultured fungus
Lineage: Eukaryota; Fungi
Description: sequence contains ITS1
Rfam family: 5.8S ribosomal RNA (bases 1-109)
Source: RNAcentral
GAAAUGCGAUACGUAAUGUGAAUUGCAGGAUUCAGUGAAUCAUCAAAAUCUUGAACGCAAAUUGCGCUUCAUUACUAUUUUGUAGUGGAGCACGCCUGUUUCAGUGUCUGUAUACCUAUAAAAGAAAGCAAAGCUUUUUGGCUGCGCUUUCUUUUGUGUUUGGUGGUUGCGUGUUUUUUGCGCGCAUCCGCUUAAGUUCAGACGACCGAUUCAUGCAACUGGGCAGGGUUCCGCCUUCGGGCGGUUCAGUGUGCUCACCCAUGGCAUGACGAAGUAGCUGCACUUGACUGUGGUUCACUCUCGUUUCAGGCCUCUAAGUGGGAAGCAUUUGUAAUCGAGUUUUUCGUUUUCCGCAGGAAAAGUCAACUUUACUUUGGACCUGAAAUCAGACGAGACUACC